Paramormyrops kingsleyae is the source of this 398-nucleotide long non-coding RNA. RefSeq lists it as uncharacterized. Lineage: Eukaryota; Metazoa; Chordata; Actinopteri; Osteoglossiformes; Mormyridae. The record is from RefSeq and is a predicted model, not a curated record.
GUUUGCUGGACAAACACAUCUAAUGGGCCGUUCCUCUCCUUAGCAGUCACGCUUUCUGACGCAACGUGAAAUAGGCGUACAGGAAAGAGUCUGCACCUGCUAAGACGGUGUGGUUCAGUCAGACUGGGCAAAACUUUGGACACAUACUGUGUGAUUCCGGGUCCUCGUGACUAAGGGGCGCCUUUCCUCCCUCCGGGGGAUCUCAUCACGCAAUGAUCCGGACAGAUCACUGAGGCGCACGGAUAAAGGAAGACCGCUCUCUAAUGUGCGUGCUUCAUGAACACACGUGUCCUGAUUUUAAGAUGUAUGGAUAAAAGCAGCCCGUAAGGUGAAACGCUGCCUGAAAUAGAUCCGCUGAGGGAUGAGAAUAGGCGACGGACAGCGAAUGAAAAUUGCAG